Molecule: long non-coding RNA, 543 nt
Filed under: Pan troglodytes (chimpanzee)
Lineage: Eukaryota; Metazoa; Chordata; Mammalia; Primates; Hominidae
Description: long non-coding RNA NONPTRT001011
Source: RNAcentral
CGAGGGGCCGGAGGACGGAGGUGGGAGCCCGGGCUAGAGGGUGGAGGCUGGGGAGGUUGCCUGGUCACUCUGGCGCUCCGCUGCGGGGGGCAUCCUCCGGCCCAGCAAAGGUGCAGCCUGGGAAGAAGGCGUCAGCACCACCCAGAGAAGAGGAGAGGGGACUUGGCACGCCUCAGGAAGGAAAAAAGGAAGGCUCUCGGGACCACCCAAUAAGCAACCGGGAAACCACAUACCAUGGACAGUGCUCGGGGAAUUUCGGCUCCUCCUCACCCCUGGGGGUUCCAGGGAUCUGGCAGAGAAAGAAGCCCAGUCUCACAGCAAUGACUCCUGAACAUCCUUUGCAAACACUAUUUAGGACAGAUGGACUGAAGUAGGCCCUUGGGAGAGUUGGGGGCAUUUCCGGAGGCCAGAUCAAAGGUGAUCUCCAGGAGAUUUGGAUGUUAGUGCAGGAUAGCUCAGAGCCAAGUGGCAGAUAAGUCUUUGGGAGCCAGAAGGGCUCUUCUCUAAGGAACAAGUGUAGACCUAUAGGGGCAAGAACCUGUG